Molecule: ribosomal RNA, 1197 nt
Filed under: uncultured organism
Description: bacterial SSU rRNA
Rfam family: Bacterial small subunit ribosomal RNA
Source: RNAcentral
GAGUAGAGAUUUCGGUCGCUUUGGGAGGAGCUCGCUUACUAUCAGCUUGUUGGUAGGGUAAUGGCCUACCAAGGCUAUGACGGUUAGGGGGUGUGAGAGCAUGACCCCCAGCAUUGGCACUGAAACACUGGCCAAACACCUACGGGUGGCUGCAGUCGAGAAUCUUCCACAAUGGGGGAAACCCUGAUGGAGCGAUGCUGCGUGCGGGAUGAAGGCCUUCGGGUUGUAAACCGCUUUUGUAGGGGACGAAAUUUUUGACGGUACCCUUUCGAAUAAGAGGUUGCUAACUCUGUGCCAGCAGCAGCGGUAAUACAGAGACCUCAAGCGUUAUCCGGAUUUACUGGGCGUAAAGCGUCUGUAGGGGGUUUAUUAAGUUCCAAGUAAAAUUUCAAGGCUCAACUUUGAAUUCGCUUGGAAAACUAAUAAACUGGAGUCUAGCAGAGGUGCAUGGAACUUGUGGUGUAGGAGUGAAAUCCGUUGAUAUCACAAGGAACACCAAAGGCGAAGGCAUUGCACUGGGCUAGCACUGACCCUGAGAGACGAAAGCGUGGGGAGCAAAACGGAUUAGAUACCCGUGUAGUCCACGCCCUAAACGAUGAAUGCUAAAUGUUCGGGGAUUCGACCCCCUGGGUGUUACAGCUAACGCGUUAAGCAUUCCGCCUGGGAAGUACGGCCGCAAGGCUAAAACUCAAAGGAAUAGACGGGGAUCCGCACAAGCGGUGGAGCGUCUGGUUUAAUUCGACAGUAAGCGUGGUACCUCACCAGGGUUUGACAUCCCUUGACAGCCUUGGAAACAAGGUUUCCUUCGGGCAAGGUGACAGGUGCUGCAUGGUCGUCGUCAGUUCGUGCCGUGAGGUGUUCCGUUAAGUCGGGAAACGAACGAGACCCCUAUUGCAUGUUACAAUUUCUCAUGCAAGACUGCCCGGAUAUACUGGGAGGAAGGUGGGGAUGACGUCAGAUCUGCAUGGUCCUUAUACCCUGGGCGACACAGGCGCUACAAUGGCAGAGACAAAGGGUUGCAAAACCGCAAGGUGAAGCUAAUCCCAAAAACUUUGUCUAAGUUCGGAUUGAAGGCUGCAAUUCGCCUUCAUGAAGCUGGAAUCGCUAGUAAUCGUGAAUCAGCCACGUCACGGUGAAUAUGUUCCCGGAUCUUGUACUCACCGCCCGUCACACCAAGAGAGUUGGUAGCUCCCGANA